RNAcentral lists this long non-coding RNA (622 nucleotides) under Manacus vitellinus (golden-collared manakin). Its description in RNAcentral is "lncRNA (ENSMVIG00005001480.1)". Lineage: Eukaryota; Metazoa; Chordata; Aves; Passeriformes; Pipridae. The record is from RNAcentral.
CGGAGAAGGAAGGUCUGUCCUGCCCAUCCAGCACAGUGCUUUCAAGCUCGCGUUUUUUAGCUGCAACUCCACCCCGUGCUGGUGGAAAAGGGAUCAGUUCCUACUGAUCGCAGGAAAGGGAGGUCACGGGGUUUGCUUGAUUAAAUCACCACAAGCCAAAAGGUUCUUUCUCUCUUCUCACUGAGAAUUGCUCAGAGGCUGUUUAAUUUGUUCCAAAAAGAAAAACAAAACAAAAAGACCAAACCCCAAGCCCAACCACCAACAGCACACACGGAAAAGCAGGUGUGUCUCAAGAUCCUGGGAAAACAAAGGGCAGAGACUGAGGCAGAAAGUGACACUUGGAUGGGAAGUUCCCAUCCCAGCACAAGAGGACAAGUUUGGAAAAGGCUCGGACAGGAUCAGCACUUAUCCUACAGAGGGCAGCCUGGGCUACAGAAGAAAGCAAAGGAUGUUUAAGAUGGAUCUAAUUAGAAGAUCUUCUCUUUGAACGACCUGAGAAGGUAAACCAUGUUGUAUCUCUGGGUGUUGUCUUUAUUUUCUAAAACAUGUGUGGUGGUAACUAUUGUGCUGGGUGGAUUUGCAAGAGAAGGUGUAAUUAUUUUGCAACAUUCGUGAAAAAGAG